Molecule: ribosomal RNA, 120 nt
Filed under: uncultured bacterium
Lineage: Bacteria
Description: partial 16S ribosomal RNA
Rfam family: Bacterial small subunit ribosomal RNA
Source: RNAcentral
CACGCCGUAAACGAUGAAUACUAGGUGUGGGGGUUUCAACACCUCCGUGCCGCCGCUAACGCAUUAAGUAUUCCGCCUGGGGAGUACGGUCGCAAGAUUAAAACUCAAAGGAAUUGACGG